Long non-coding RNA from Triticum dicoccoides, 842 nucleotides. RefSeq lists it as uncharacterized. The record is from RefSeq and is a predicted model, not a curated record. NCBI's taxonomy places the organism in Eukaryota, Viridiplantae, Streptophyta, Magnoliopsida, Poales, Poaceae. The transcript is spliced from 4 exons.
CUCUCUCAUCCUAAAAAAAACUCUCUCCCCACAACCCACUCCACCGGCACCUGUUCCUCGGUCCACUCCACCCCAGCUCCUCUCCCCACGAUCUCCUCGCCGCGGCCCCCACCCACGCCGGCCGGUUCCGGCGAGCACCGGCCGCGUGUAACGCUCCCCUAACCCCACCGCCGGCGCCCCCCACCUCACCAGCAGCCGCUGCCUCUCUCAGCUCCUGAAGCCCUAGCUCAGGCCGCCGCGACCCACCCGCUGCUUCCCGCGUUCACGCGCGAGAUCCGUGUCCUGCGUUCACGGCCUAGCAGGCGUCCAUGCGCGGAUCCUCCUCCUCAUCGUGCUCUUGUGCCGGCCCCGAACCCUAGCUUCAAAUCGCCAUGCCCAAGUACUAAUCGGCCUCGGGCCCAAGUGCUCUGCAAGUCUGCAGAAAUCUGCUGCUGUGAGAGGACGACGACGAGGCGAGUGGCUGCUCCGACCCUGGUACUGACCACACGAUAGAAGACUUUUUGAAGCCAUAUGAGCUAGGGGUUGCACCGCAGGAGCAUAGCGUGUACAAGUACUGAACAUUGAAGAUUGCAUUGCAGCUCAUCAGUAGAAGAUGGCGACAGAGUGCUGCAGGAUAAUGAGAUGUUGAAGCGGCACACUAAAUCCAUGACACCGAAGUGCAAUUUUGGCAGAUUAUCUCUAUCUUUUCUUUUCAUUUUUCUUAUUAUUGAGUGAGAACGGAAUGAGGAGCUAUGUGAUAGUACGCACAACAACUGUAGUAAAAAUAGACUUAUGUUUGCAAUUGUUAAUGACAUAGAUACUUGCAUGUUCUUUGAAGUGGUCAUUUCUGAGUAGCAAUGCAU